UGGAAAUGUCACUAGUUUAAAAUCAGUGGAGUUGCUUUUGUUCUUUUUUAUCCAUGAUCAAAUUGGUUUGAUUUGGUCCCAAGUACUUUAUAGUAACCUCCCAAGUACAGGAGACUGAAUGGGAGAAACCUCAUGGAGCACAGUGGUGCUCUUAAAGUUCUGGAAACUGCGUUGCUAGGAAACAACUUUACCACCAGUUCAGUUUCAACUUGGAGCAUCUGCUUCAUUUGAAGUGUGGCUUCCAGGCAGUAUAGAUUGCACUGCGCAUCGGGGAGGGGGAAAAAGCAAAAGAAAAACCAAUUACUUUCUAAAAGCAACAACAAUGCUAACAGCCUUGAAAGGAGAGAGUCUUAUGCUAUAUUUGUAAUUAUACCCUUUGGAAAGUGUUGCUGGAGGGUGUCUGUCUGCUAACUCAUAAAGCUGAAGUCCAAAAUAGCAAGAGGAAUCACUCAGAUACAGGACCCAAAGACAGGGAGAAAGAUUUUAUCACGUAUGCAAGGCAUAGAUUAGAACUUCCCUUCUGCCUGUUCCGUAUGUCAUCGCCUCAUGAUGGUCUGUGACAGCAUAAACAACGCAGAGAGUGGAAACUCAAGGGUCCCAGCACCACUUUUCAAAGCACAUGAGCUUAAAUAAAUAGCAAUGUUUCAAGUGUUCCACAUGGAGAAAAAUAAAGUUCUAUACUGAUAAAAGGAAUGUGCCAUGACCUUCGUCCAGUGAAAGCAGAGGGGGUUCUUAUUUUUACGACAACAAGCCCAGGUCCUGAAAAGAUUUGGUGUCUAAAUAUAGAAGAAAUGGCCUAGGAGCCAUGAAAAACAAAGCAAAUAUUUGACUUGGAUUGCUGAAGCCCCCAAGGUAUUUAGAAAAAGCAAACCAAGCACCGAACCCUCAACACUGGCUUCAGGAAGUGCCUCAAGUUCCAGCCACAAGUGCCAAUCACGGAGGAAACAGGCCACUCUGAACCACGGUCAGCAGAAGCAUCCACAGGCUGGAGUCCUCUGUCCUUCCUGUUAUCAGCACAGCAAGACAGAAUGGAGUGGGGGACCUGAGGACCUGGAGCCACCCUGCAGAAGCAAGGCCAGAGGGGGUCUCACAAAUCGCAAGUUCUUCCGCUACGAGCACAAGAAGCAGGUAAACUCUCACUGGGAAACGUGUACCUCUCAGGGUUUAGGUAACUCCAUUCCAGUGAAAAAAUUACAUCGCUCCUAACAAGGAAAGGAAACAAAAUUACAAGUAGGACAGGCCU
Long non-coding RNA from Chinchilla lanigera (long-tailed chinchilla), 1243 nucleotides. Lineage: Eukaryota; Metazoa; Chordata; Mammalia; Rodentia; Chinchillidae. The record is from Ensembl.